CUCGGGGGAGGGGGGUGUUGUCCCUCAGCCCGGAUUGCGAGAGGGUGCAGGCCAGGCUGAGGGACCCCACUGGUGCACG
Molecule: non-coding RNA, 79 nt
Organism: Myotis lucifugus (little brown bat)
Lineage: Eukaryota; Metazoa; Chordata; Mammalia; Chiroptera; Vespertilionidae
Source: Rfam